GAUGAACGCUGGCGGCGUGCCUAAUACAUGCAAGUCGAGCGAACAGACGAGGAGCUUGCUCCUCUGACGUUAGCGGCGGACGGGUGAGUAACACGUGGAUCACCUACCUAUAAGACUGGGAUAACUUCGGGAAACCGGAGCUAAUACCGGAUAAUAUAUUGAACCGCAUGGUUCAAUAGUGAAAGACGGUUUUGCUGUCACUUAUAGAUGGAUCCGCGCCGCAUUAGCUAGUUGGUAAGGUAACGGCUUACCAAGGCAACGAUGCGUAGCCGACCUGAGAGGGUGAUCGGCCACACUGGAACUGAGACACGGUCCAGACUCCUACGGGAGGCAGCAGUAGGGAAUCUUCCGCAAUGGGCGAAAGCUUGACGGAGCAACGCCGCGUGAGUGAUGAAGGUCUUCGGAUCGUAAAACUCUGUUAGUAGGGAAGAACAAAUGUGUAAGUAACUAUGCACGUCUUGACGGUACCUAAUCAGAAAGCCACGGCUAACUACGUG
Molecule: ribosomal RNA, 497 nt
Filed under: uncultured bacterium
Lineage: Bacteria
Description: partial 16S ribosomal RNA
Rfam family: Bacterial small subunit ribosomal RNA
Source: RNAcentral